This is a long non-coding RNA of Hyla sarda, 376 nucleotides long. RefSeq lists it as uncharacterized. The transcript has 4 exons. Lineage: Eukaryota; Metazoa; Chordata; Amphibia; Anura; Hylidae. The record is from RefSeq and is a predicted model, not a curated record.
UUACCUGUGUGAAGAUCCAGAGACGGGUUAGUCUGAAGAAACGGCCGGAGGGGCGUGAAACAAUUGUCACUCAGUGUAUUCCUACCGCUCCGGCGUCCCACGCCGCCGUCAGCAGACUGCCGCAUCUAUAAUAAAGAAGCCGUGAUCCACCUUCCGAACUCUGUUUUCAGCAGCUGAAUGUGAUCAGGAAAGCCGAAAGCAGCCAAGUCCCUUUGUCGCUGAAAUACCCAGCCCCUAAAGGCAAUAAGUUGACAAAGUCUGCAAUAAAUAACUCUAUAGGCUCGCCCGUUGCUUCUUGCUGGCCUUCAGGCUCAGCAGGCCUUGCUCCUUUAAGGAUUGAAAGUCUUUCAGAAAGCCCUCUCAUUCUUGGAAAGAG